RNAcentral lists this ribosomal RNA (714 nucleotides) under Triticum aestivum (bread wheat). RNAcentral describes it as "partial small subunit ribosomal RNA". Lineage: Eukaryota; Viridiplantae; Streptophyta; Magnoliopsida; Poales; Poaceae. The record is from RNAcentral.
AUGAGGGGCCUGAUAUGGAACAUUCGGGGGUUUGGGCAACUGGAUCAGAGACGGCAACUAAUCGAGUAUAUUCGGGACCAGCGCAUUGAUUUUGUGGGCCUGCAAGAAACGAUCCAUUCGUCCUUCUCUCAAGUGGAGUUGGACUCGCUUGGCGGGACCAUGGGGUUCCAGUGGGAGUGGGUCCCGGCGUCUGCCCGUUCGGGAGGCAUUCUCCUUGGGGUUAAUAGGGAUACCUUCGAAGUUCUAUCAUAUUUGAGGGGAAACUUCUUCAUAGGAGUGGAGAUUAUACAAACAGAUAUUAACUUCAAAUGGGAGUUAUUAGUGGUGUACGCACCGGCGGAUCAUUCCAGGUCCCGGGAUUUUUUGCUCGAAUUACACACUAAAGUGUGCCAGUCUGCGAAUCCUUUGGUCAUAGCUGGAGACUUUAAUCUUAUCAGGUCAAGAGAGGAUAAGAGCAACCAGGUUAUUAAUAAUCAACAUCUUGUGGACGUGUUUAAUGAGUGGGUGGCGGACUUGGCGCUUAUUGAGCUGCAGAGGGUUGGAGCUCGCUUCACCUGGUCGAACAACCAGGAAACCCCAAUCCGUAGCAUGCUAGAUAGAGUGUUCAUUUUGAUGGAAUGGGAGGCGAGGUUUCCUGCAUGCGCGCUCAUUGUGGAAACAAGACUGGGAUCAGAUCAUUACCCACUUACCAUGUUGUCUGGGGAACGAUUCUGA